CGCGUAGGUGGUUUGUUAAGUCGGAUGUGAAAGCCCAGGGCUCAACCUUGGAAUUGCAUUCGAUACUGGCAGACUAGAGUAUGGUAGAGGAAAGUGGAAUUCCGGGUGUAGCGGUGAAAUGCGUAGAUAUCCGGAGGAACAUCAGUGGCGAAGGCGACUUUCUGGACCAAUACUGACACUGAGGUGCGAAAGCGUGGGUAGCAAACAGGAUUAGAUACCCUGGUAGUCC
Molecule: ribosomal RNA, 229 nt
Filed under: uncultured bacterium
Lineage: Bacteria
Description: partial 16S ribosomal RNA
Rfam family: Bacterial small subunit ribosomal RNA
Source: RNAcentral